RNAcentral lists this transfer RNA (72 nucleotides) under Elusimicrobia bacterium RIFOXYD2_FULL_34_15. RNAcentral's name for it is "tRNA-Cys". It matches the Rfam family "tRNA". Rfam says of the family: Transfer RNA (tRNA) molecules are approximately 80 nucleotides in length. The record is from RNAcentral. Lineage: Bacteria; Pseudomonadati; Elusimicrobiota.
GGUGCGGUACCCAAGUGGCAAGGGAGCAGUCUGCAAAACUGCGAUUCGCCGGUUCAAAUCCGGCCCGCACCU